AGACGGGGCCCGCACAAGCAGUGGAGUAUGUGGUUUAAUUCGAAGCAACGCGAAGAACCUUUACCAGGGCUUGACAUCCCUUGAAGCAGCUAGAGAUAGCUGUGUCCUUCGGGACAAGGAGACAGGUGGUGCAUGGUUGUCGUCAGCUCGUGUCGUGAGAUGUUGGGUUAAGUCCCGCAACGAGCGCAACCCCUGUGGUUAGUUGCCAGCAAGUAGCGUUGGGCACUCUAGAGGGACUGCCGGCGACAAGUCGGAGGAAGUGGGGAUGACGUCAAAUCAUCAUGCCCCUUAUGACCUGGGCUACACACGUGCUACAAUGGGCGGUACAAAGGGCUGCGAACCCGCGAGGGGGAGCGAAUCCCAAAAAGCCGCUCUCAGUUCGGAUUGCAGGCUGCAACUCGCCUGCAUGAAGCCGGAAUCGCUAGUAAUCGCGGAUCAGCAUGCCGCGGUCGAAUACGUUCCGGGCCUU
Molecule: ribosomal RNA, 469 nt
Filed under: uncultured Geobacillus sp.
Lineage: Bacteria; Bacillati; Bacillota; Bacilli; Caryophanales; Anoxybacillaceae
Description: bacterial SSU rRNA
Rfam family: Bacterial small subunit ribosomal RNA
Source: RNAcentral